CCUACGGGUGGCAGCAGUGAGGAAUAUUGGUCAAUGGGCGCGAGCCUGAACCAGCCAAGUCGCGUGAGGGAAGACGGUCCUAUGGAUUGUAAACCUCUUUUGUCGGGGAGCAAAAGACGCCACGCGUGGCGUUCCGAGAGUACCCGAAGAAAAAGCAUCGGCUAACUCCGUGCCAGCAGCCGCGGUAAUACGGAGGAUGCGAGCGUUAUCCGGAUUUAUUGGGUGUAAAGGGUGCGCAGGCGGAAGAUAAAGUGAGCGGUAAAAUUGAGAGGCUCAACCUCUUCGAGCCGUUGAAACUGGUUGUCUUGAGUGAGUGAGAAGGAUGCGGAAUGCGUGGUGUAGCGGUGAAAUGCAUAGAUAUCACGCAGAACUCCGAUUGCGAAGGCAGCAUACCGGCGCUCAACUGACGCUCAUGCACGAAAGUGUGGGUAUCGAACAGGAUUAGAUACCCUAGUAGUC
RNAcentral lists this ribosomal RNA (459 nucleotides) under uncultured bacterium. Its description in RNAcentral is "partial 16S ribosomal RNA". It matches the Rfam family "Bacterial small subunit ribosomal RNA", at positions 338 to 795 of the family's 1533-position model. The record is from RNAcentral.